RNAcentral lists this long non-coding RNA (693 nucleotides) under Pan troglodytes (chimpanzee). RNAcentral describes it as "long non-coding RNA NONPTRT006576". Lineage: Eukaryota; Metazoa; Chordata; Mammalia; Primates; Hominidae. The record is from RNAcentral.
CACCCCGGGUGUCAGUCACUGCAGACAUCACUGCAGACACAGAGAUGGCCAUUAGAGCUCACCACCCCGGGUGUCAGUCACUGCAGACAUCACUGCAGACACAGAGACGGCCAUUAGAGCUCACCACCCCGGGUGUUAGUCACUGCAGACAUCACUGCAGACACAGAGACGGCCAUUAGAGCUCACCACCCCGGGCGUUAGUCACUGCAGACAUCACUGCAGACAUCACUGCAGACACAGAGACGGCCAUUAGAGCUCACCACCCCAAGUGUUAGUCACUGCAGACAUCACUGCAGACACAGAGACGGCCAUUAGAGCUCACCACCCCAGGCGUUAGUCACUGCAGACAUCACUGCAGACAGAGAAGGCCAUUAGAGCUCACCACCCCAGGUGUUAGUCACUGCAGACAUCACUGCAGACAUCACUGCAGACACAGAGACGGCCAUUAGAGCUCACCACCCCGAGCGUUAGUCACUGCAGACAUCACUGCAGACACAGAGACGGCCAUUAGAGCUCACCACCCCAGGUGUUAGUCACUGCAGACAUCACUGCAGACACAGAGACGGCCAUUAGAGCUCACCACCCCAGGCGUUAGUCACUGCAGACAUCACUGCAGACACAGAGACGGCCAUUAGAGCUCACCACCCCAAGUGUUAGUCACUGCAGACAUCACUGCAGACACAGAGACGGCCA